GUUCUACCAUUAAUCUGCUCUCGAUAUCGAGCCUGGACUCCUGUAUAAAUCUUGGGUAGAUCUUCAGAUGGCACCGGCGAAAUCAUACCCAUUUGAAAGGUCUGUAUUUGAAGCAAGAAGACUUUCGACAGUACAAGGGUGAAAAGAGAGCCCAUACCCAUUUGAGCUGUGUAUGACUUGGCUUUGCUGGGAUUGGAUGUUUACAACUUAGAGAAAGGGGAAGGUUUGGAAAGGCAGAACCGCACUCGCUCAUAUCAGACGGCAAUUGCUAGAUAAAAGCUUUCGAAACACAGAUGAUUGGUGGGUAAUGACGGGUGUCAUUCGAUAAAGCUUUGGAGAUGCGCCCGAUUGCAGAUAAUGCUUUCUACUACGAAUGUAAGGACCUUGUUUAGUAUCAUGUUUAAUGAUCAAUUGCUGUCCACGAGACGGUUUUGCACCGGGCACUCUGGUUUGAGAUUAAUCUGGUGAAUUGCAAAGACAAACCCCACAGCUGCAUCAUAAAUUAGCUAACAGUGAACACUGUAGAAGGGGAGAUGAUUUCUAAAGAUGGAAGGGUCAAUAUCAGGUGAAAAGGCCUUGAAAACAUUAACUAAGAAUGAUAUCCUGACUGAGAACAAGAGAUCCUGUGAUAAGUACCUUGAAGUUGCUCUUUCUUAAGUCGAAACCCAACAGGAUCACAGCUUCCUCAAUCUUCGCAAUCAUCUCGCCAGCUGAGCAGCUUGAUGUGAAUAUGGAUUCUCUUUUGACGAGUCCCUGAACAAUGGAUGAGGUUGGCUAUAUAAAGUUUUAGGCUACAAACAAAUCCGGCAUGAUAAAAUGUCCGAGUUAUUCUUUCUCAAUAUACUACUGAGAAAGACUGCAAAAAUGAACGGAGACAAGUCUUUUCGGUGUUCGUCCUACUGAAAGCAACUUAUAAUGUAAUUUACUUCUGUUAACUACUGAUUAAGCUGAGGAGACGUAGCAUUGGCUUCUCGAAAGGGGUACCAAGGUCGAGACCCUGGGAAGUCAAGAUGAGCUCAAACAAAUUCACGAUGACCGGGGCAGCAGGCCUUUCUUCUCGCUUCUCCACAAAAAGGUUUUGAGGCGUCCUGAUACCAAGAAGGAACACAGGCACAAGCACAAGUUACAUUUUCUCGUCUUUCAGAACCACUGAAUCACUAUGUAGAUUUACUCAAACAGGGUGGAUGUAGAGAGAUGGAUCUCACUCACCCUGGUUUCACUGAAGAAACUGUCAAUAUCUUCGAGACUAACAUCGCCUUGUUUGAAAGUCGGAGGCUUGAA
Molecule: long non-coding RNA, 1281 nt
Organism: Syzygium oleosum
Lineage: Eukaryota; Viridiplantae; Streptophyta; Magnoliopsida; Myrtales; Myrtaceae
Exons: 2
Source: RefSeq, a predicted model, not a curated record